UACGUAGGCAGCGAGCGUUGUUCGGAAUUACUGGGCGAAAGAGUGUGUAGGCGGUGCUCUAAGUUCGGUGUGAAAUCUCCCGGCUUAACUGGGAGGGUGCGCCGGAAACUGGAGUGCUCGAGCGUGGGAGAGGAAAGGCGGAAUUCCUGGUGUAGCGGUGAAAUGCGUAGAUAUCAGGAGGAACACCUGCGGUGUAGACGGCUUUCUGGACCAUUGCUGACGCUGGAGACACGAAAGCGUGGGUAGCAAACAGG
Molecule: ribosomal RNA, 254 nt
Filed under: uncultured bacterium
Lineage: Bacteria
Description: partial 16S ribosomal RNA
Rfam family: Bacterial small subunit ribosomal RNA
Source: RNAcentral